GACGAACGCUGGCGGCGUGCUUAACACAUGCAAGUGGAGCGACGAACCGGGCUUCGGCCCGGGGCAAAGCCGCGAACGGGUGAGUAACACGUGGGUAACCUGCCCCAAUGACUGGGACAACCCGGGGAAACUCGGGCUAAUACCAGAUGUGGUCACCUCACAUAAGUGAGAUGACUAAAGAUAGCUUCGGCCUUCGCAUUGGGAUGGGCCCGCGGCGCAUUAGCUUGUUGGUGGGGUAANGGCCUACCAAGGCGACGAUGCGUAGCUGGUCUGAGAGGACGGAUCAGCCACACUGGGACUGAGACACGGCCCA
Molecule: ribosomal RNA, 313 nt
Filed under: uncultured bacterium
Lineage: Bacteria
Description: bacterial SSU rRNA
Rfam family: Bacterial small subunit ribosomal RNA
Source: RNAcentral